GUGGGGAAUAUUGGACAAUGGGCGAAACCCUGAUCUAGCCAUGCCGCGUGAGCGAUGAAGGCCUUAGGGUUGUAAAGCUCUUUCAGCUGGGAAGAUAAUGACGGUACCAGCAGAAGAAGCCCCGGCUAACUCCGUGCCAGCAGCCGCGGUAAUACGGAGGGGGCUAGCGUUGUUCGGAAUUACUGGGCGUAAAGCGCGCGUAGGCGGACCAGAAAGUUGGAGGUGAAAUCCCAGGGCUCAACCUUGGAACUGCCUUCAAAACUCCUGGUUUGGAGUUCGAGAGAGGUGAGUGGAAUUCCGAGUGUAGAGGUGAAAUUCGUAGAUAUUCGGAGGAACACCAGUGGCGAAGGCGGCUCACUGGCUCGAUACUGACGCUGAGGUGCGAAAGCGUGGGGAGCAAACAGGAUUAGAAACCCGGGUAGUCC
RNAcentral lists this ribosomal RNA (425 nucleotides) under uncultured bacterium. RNAcentral describes it as "partial 16S ribosomal RNA". It matches the Rfam family "Bacterial small subunit ribosomal RNA", at positions 354 to 796 of the family's 1533-position model. The record is from RNAcentral.